This 119-nucleotide ribosomal RNA is filed under the name Anolis carolinensis (green anole). Lineage: Eukaryota; Metazoa; Chordata; Lepidosauria; Squamata; Anolidae. The record is from RNAcentral.
AGGUAGGACCUAAAUACCCCAAAGACACUAGAUCUCAUGUGAUCUUGAAAGCUAAGCAGGGUCAGCCCUGGUUAGUUUUUGGGUGGGAGAUCACCAAUGAAUACUAGGUGUUGUAGCUU